Molecule: ribosomal RNA, 253 nt
Filed under: uncultured bacterium
Lineage: Bacteria
Description: partial 16S ribosomal RNA
Rfam family: Bacterial small subunit ribosomal RNA
Source: RNAcentral
GACGAACCACACAAACGUUAUUCGGAAUUACUGGGCUUAAAGGGUGCGUAGGCGGCGCGGAAAGUUGGGUGUGAAAUCCCUCGGCUCAACCGAGGAACUGCGCUCAAUACUACCGUGCUCGAGGGAGACAGAGGUGAGCGGAACUUAGGGUGGAGCGGUGAAAUGCGUAGAUAUCUGGAGGAACACCGGUGGCGAAGGCGACAUCCUGGACCAACACUGACGCUGAGGAGCGAAAGCCAGGGGAGCAAACGGG